CCAUCGGGUAAUGCCGGGCACUCUGGAAGGACUGCCAUCGACAAGAAUGGAGGAAGGUGGGGAUGACGUCAAGUCAUCAUGGCCCUUAUGACCAGGGCUACACACGUACUACAAUGGCCGAUACAAAGGGCAGCGACACUGCGAGGUGAAGACCAAUCCCGUAAAAUCGGUCUCAGUCCGGAUUGGAGUCUGCAACUCGACUGCGUGAAGUCGGAAUCGCUAGUAAUCGUGAAUCAGAAUGUCACGGUGAAUACGUUCCCGGGCCUU
RNAcentral lists this ribosomal RNA (267 nucleotides) under uncultured Desulfobulbus sp. Its description in RNAcentral is "partial 16S ribosomal RNA". It matches the Rfam family "Bacterial small subunit ribosomal RNA", at positions 1118 to 1382 of the family's 1533-position model. The record is from RNAcentral. Lineage: Bacteria; Pseudomonadati; Thermodesulfobacteriota; Desulfobulbia; Desulfobulbales; Desulfobulbaceae.